UACGUAGGGUGCGAGCGUUGUCCGGAAUUAUUGGGCGUAAAGAGCUCGUAGGCGGUUUGUCGCGUCGGCUGUGAAAACCUGGGGCUCAACCCCCGGGGCCUGCAGUGGGUACGGGCAGACUAGAGUGCAGUAGGGGAGACUGGAAUUCCUGGUGUAGCGGUGAAAUGCGCAGAUAUCAGGAGGAACACCGAUGGCGAAGGCAGGUCUCUGGGCUGUAACUGACGCUGAGGAGCGAAAGCAUGGGGAGCGAACAGG
This 255-nucleotide ribosomal RNA is filed under the name uncultured bacterium. RNAcentral describes it as "partial 16S ribosomal RNA". It matches the Rfam family "Bacterial small subunit ribosomal RNA", at positions 524 to 776 of the family's 1533-position model. The record is from RNAcentral.